GCGGAUGUGGUGAAUGGUUCACAGCUGCUGUCAGUCACGCGCAGACUCUCGACUUUGAAGCAGCACAACUGGGUUCGAUUCCCGGCAUCCGCG
Molecule: non-coding RNA, 93 nt
Organism: Mycena galopus ATCC 62051
Lineage: Eukaryota; Fungi; Basidiomycota; Agaricomycetes; Agaricales; Mycenaceae
Source: the annotation of a GenBank genome assembly